This 1341-nucleotide long non-coding RNA is filed under the name Homo sapiens (human). RNAcentral describes it as "small nucleolar RNA host gene 10 (SNHG10)". Lineage: Eukaryota; Metazoa; Chordata; Mammalia; Primates; Hominidae. The record is from RNAcentral.
AGCCUCAUCCUACUGCCUUACUAUUGGUCGUCGGCAACCGCUUUGUUAGUUAAUUGGAGAGACUGGAUGUCCAUCAGGGUCACGCUUGCAGGGCAACGAGAGGCAAAACAAGAGGGAAGACGACUUUCCUCCUGUGAGCCAAUGAGGCCAGCUGGACUACGCCGAGACAACUGGGAGAGGCGCGGGACUCGCCCGUUCCGCGGAACGCCGGGAAGGGGUCACCUCCUGAUGAAGUUUCCGGUUCCGGUGUCAGCGGCGGUUGAAUUGCCAUGGCAAUGCGGUGGGCGCGCGCUUGUCGUGUUGGUCUCUUGGGAGGUAGCGGGGCUAGGCCGGGCGGGUAUCCGCCUCUCCCAGCUUAGGUGAGCGUCCCCGGGCGCCUCCGGAGCGCCGCGGCCGCAUGCAGUUCGUCGUGGCGGGGAGCCGGAGCCUGACCGGGGUUCCAGCGCUCGGGCCGUAGCCUUGGCUCCUGGACUUUCCCUGGCUCCGCCGCCACGUGGGAGCUGAGGCUCUGGGGCUUCCGCCUCCGGCGCGCGAUUAUUUCUCUAGAACAGUUUUCAUUUUUAAAAUUUGUAAAGCGCUUUUGCCUGUGUGAUUUCCUCUGGGUUUUUUUUUUUUUUCUUCCUUUUUGUAGAGACGGAAUUGGCGGCGGGGGCGGGGGGUCGAUGUCUCACUUUUUUGCCCAGGCUGGUCUCGAACUCCUGGCUUCAAGGGAUCCUCCUGCCUCGGCCUCUUAAAGUGCUGGGAUUACAGGCGUGAGCCACCGCCCCCGGCCGCCUCUGAGUUUCCAGCCUCGUUGGCCCUCCAGCCUUUUAACCUGUUGGGCCUAGGAUCAGGAAAGGUUUGUUGAAUGGGGAACUAAGAAGUGAAUUCGUUCGUUCGACAAACGUUUCCUGAGCAGCCGCUGGGUGCUAGGCGCAGUGCCAGCGCGGAAUGUCCAGGGAGACCUGGUGCCCAAAGCUUGGACCCAUCGUGAGAAAUGAGAAGCAGAUACAAAGCAGUGUGGGAGUGCAGAGGAGACAAAGCAAGCCUCAUCAGGCCCAUUGCUUGCUCUGCUCUCCCUUGUACUUACCAGUGCUUGACAAUAUACAGUUAUUUACUAGCUUGGUUAUUGACUUCCUACCCAGCACUCAGUUUUAUUCACUGCUGUAUCCUCAGUGCCUAGGACGAUGCUUGGAACGUGAUUCAUUGAUUCCAGGUAAAUCAGAGGAACAAGCAACAUGAACAGAAAUAUGUAGAAAAAGCUAUUAUGCAGAAGCAUAAUUGUUGUUUCAGAAGUCCAGCAUCUGGUGCACUUAACAAUAGAGAAUAUAUUAAACUCUUUCCAAAAUAAAAAAAAAAAAA